RNAcentral lists this unclassified non-coding RNA (208 nucleotides) under Hevea brasiliensis (rubber tree). Lineage: Eukaryota; Viridiplantae; Streptophyta; Magnoliopsida; Malpighiales; Euphorbiaceae. The record is from RNAcentral.
AGGCGUGAAUGGUCUUUUAAUCUGAACUAACUCUUGAGGAGACGCGUCUAACGUUCUUGAAGGUAUGUCUAAGGAUAGGUUUGGUUUCCUCCAAUGUUUAGCAUGUGUUGUUUCUUCAGUAAUCGUGGAUGACCUCUCGAUCUUAGGUGUUGAAAUGACAAAAUCAUUUUCACAAACACCAAUUUUUUCAUCAUUAUCAACAACCUCA